AUGCCACCCAAGGCGCCCAUUACGUGCAACUGGGUGAGAUCCAGCGUUACUGAUAACACCUUAGAUGACUUCGUGAAAACGGGUUACCUGCCUAAGAAGGAGGUCAUGUCCUAUCGUGCGCCUGACCCGUCCGAAGAAAGACCUCAACCAAGAGACGGAGAGGUUGUUAUAUUUGCUUAUCACAUGAGCCGGGGUUUUGCACCUCCCGGCUCAAAGUUCUUCAGAGAUGUUCUGCACUUUUUCGAUCUGCGACCUCAAGACAUUGGACCCAAUUCCGUGUCGAACAUUUGUAACUUCCAAGUGUUCUGUGAGGUGUACCUUGGAGAAGAGCCCAGCCUACUACUCUUUAGGGAGCUGUUUUAUCUGAACCGCCAAAACGAGUGUGCCAACGGGCCUAGCCUGGAACUUGGCGGGAUUUCAAUCCAACGACGAAGAGAUUGCCUCUUUCCUUAUGCUGAGCCGCCAAGCCACCCAAAGGACUGGAACCAGACAUGGUUCUACUGCCAGGAUACUUCUCCGGCUGAUGAGAACCCUCUGCCCGGCUUUCGCGCCCUGCGUCUGGAGUCAAAUCACCCCCUGCCAGACAAAUUAUCUCAAGUUGAGCGUCAACCACUCCUCCCCACCAUCAACAAGAUUAAAGCUCUUCUGGGAAACGGCCUUAACGGCGUUGAUCUGGUCCGGGUCUGGAUUGCUUGGCGGGUGAUUCCUCUAAGCCGCCGCCCUGGCUUAAUGUGUGAUUACACGGGCCGGAAGGAUGAUCCUCUUCGGCACAGCCCCAACGACUUACCUGAGGACGUCGUUGAUGAUAUGACCAAGUCCCUUCUAAACGAGAGCUUAGCAGAUUGCGGGAGGACAGGCUUAAGUCCCUUCUGCAAAGCUAACCCGGCUCCAGCGGCUAAUGAUAAGUUCUGGAAGGUCAGGUAUGACCAUGAGGCUGCUAAAAAAGCCAGGAAGGUCAAAAAAGCCGCCAGGAGAGCCGCUCCCCGCAAGAAGGGGAGUAAGCCUAGCGCCUCAGACCUGCUUCAGUUGGAUGACACCUCCGAGUCAGAGGAUGAUACCGGAGCGAGUAACCCGGUGAUUGAAGAGAUUCAUGAGAGCCGGAGGCAAACCCGGACCAACAAGGAAGCAGACCUCUCCUCCGGCUUACCUGAAGCAUCAAGGAAGCGCCGGACCGAGGAAACUUCACCUUCCUCCGGGGACUCCAUGCAAUCUAACUUGCCGGCUUUCAAGACCGCUCCCGAUGCACAAGCAAAGCUCAGCAAGAGGGAAAAGAAAAGUAACUCGGUCGAAGAGCCGGUCUUGACUGAACCCAACGCCUCUGCCUCUGAGCCGCCGUCUGCACCAGCUCCAGAAACCACCGCUCCAACUGAAGAACAAGCCAUGGAGGGUUCUGACAACCCGGAGAUUCCCAGCCCAGCUCAACCGGCCGAUGACCCGGAUGUGGUGAUUACCCGGACCGAAUAUGUUGAGCUGGGAAGACCCACUGUGCUGGCUAGAUGCUCUGCUAAGGAAGAACUGCUGGAGCGCCGUAGGGCCAGACUGGAUAUCACUGACUAUGCUAACUUGAGCAUUGGAGAUAUUGUUGCUGGUUAUAUUGGUCAAGUGCACAACAGCCGGGACCUGGAAAUUGACAUGGUGAAGCAGAUACAGCAAAAAUCUGAGGCUGCCUGCAAGAAACUUGAAUCGGAAAUCUCUGAUCUGAAGACCCGCCUGAAGACUCAGGAAAAUGAGACCCAGAAAGCCAAUGCCAAAUUUGAGUUCAGUGUCUCUGCACAAGAAAAACUGAAGAAAAAAUUUGAAACAGAAAGAAAAGCCUGGGCCGAUGAGAAGACUGCCUUACUCAGCCGGGCCGAACAAGCGGAGGCUGCUCUUACUGAAAGAACCGCCAAACUCUCCGGCUUAAAAUGCCAUGUAUCGCAGAUGGUCUCCGCAAUCUUUGGCCCUAGAAGCUCCAAUCUCAAUCAGAACAUGCGAACCAAGCUGAAGGCUGUUUACACCUUGGUGGAGCAACUCUACACCGGGUCACAACGUGCUUUAGACGUUGUGGCUCUGUCCAAUGAGGUUCCCACUCACCUGGUAGACGUACUCAGGCGGCUUGCCGUACUUCCUCAACGCUUCCAAGAGCUGAGACGGGCUUCUGCUAGAGCCGGAGCUAUAGCUGCUCUGAGCCGGGCCAAGGCGUUUCUACCGGAGCUAGACCCGGCCGACAUCGCUCUUGGAUACCCCAACCUGAAGGAAGAUGGUACCCCCUUUGACCAGAAAGACUUCGCCGCCUGUGUGAAGAGUGUGCGCCCGGUGGCCACCUUGAUUGGGAAUGACACAGAUCUUACCAAGUAUCAGCCGGGCUAUGACGCGGAGAAUCAGAGGAUCCCCACUCCACGUUAUGAAGCAGUUAGCCUGAUCCCUCCGACUCGUAAGCAUGCCUUCGCCCCAGAAGUUGACCCGGCCGGGUUAAUUGAUGAUGAGGCUCAAUUCGAAGCUUUGAGUGGCAUUGACUGGAAAUCAACAACCUUCCAGGUCAUGGAAACAGCCGGAGGAGCGGAGAGGGAUGAGCCGGGAGCUUCAACCCAACAAGCACCUUGA
RNAcentral lists this ribosomal RNA (2583 nucleotides) under Triticum aestivum (bread wheat). RNAcentral's name for it is "partial small subunit ribosomal RNA". The record is from RNAcentral. Lineage: Eukaryota; Viridiplantae; Streptophyta; Magnoliopsida; Poales; Poaceae.